UUGUGCUUGAUCUAACCAUGUGGCUGCCGGGUCAAAUAGUGGGACAUGGUUCCGUCAAGCACCAGG
Molecule: microRNA precursor, 66 nt
Filed under: Gadus morhua (Atlantic cod)
Lineage: Eukaryota; Metazoa; Chordata; Actinopteri; Gadiformes; Gadidae
Description: microRNA gmo-mir-218a precursor (gmo-mir-218a-2)
Gene: gmo-mir-218a-2
Rfam family: mir-218 microRNA precursor family
About the family: The extents of the hairpin precursors are not known. In this case the mature sequence in excised from the 5'arm of the hairpin.
Source: miRBase by way of RNAcentral